Long non-coding RNA from Oncorhynchus tshawytscha (Chinook salmon), 303 nucleotides. The record is from Ensembl. NCBI's taxonomy places the organism in Eukaryota, Metazoa, Chordata, Actinopteri, Salmoniformes, Salmonidae.
GCCGGGUGGAGAUUAUAACAGAACAUGGCCAAGAUGUUCAAAUGUUCAUAAAUGACCAGCAUGGUCGAAUAAUAAUAAGGCAGAACAGUUGAAACUGGAGCAGCAGCAUGGUCAGAUGGACUGGGGACAGCAAGGAGUCAUCAUGUCAGGUAGUCCUGGGGCAUGGUCCUAUGGCUCAGGUCAGUUGAAACUGGAACAGCAGCAUGGUCAGGUGGACUGGGGACAGCAAGGAGUCAUCAUGUCAGGUAGUCCUGGGGCAUGGUCCUAGGGCUCAGGUCCUCCGAGAGAGAGAAAGAAAGAGAG